GUUUCUCCUGAGCUGCGGUGGGUUUGGUCUCUGGGGGGGUGUCGGGGGGGUCGGAGGGGGGGUCGGAGCUCGGUCUGAUGCUUUUAGGAUGUUUUCUUUUCUUUUAUUUACAGGGUUUGCUUUGUUAGAACAUGUUGGAGACACGAGUAAGCCAGACUGUCUUCAGGUGGCCGUGAAUGAGACGCGGCUCUUUAUUCGACCUUUGGUGGGGGGGGCGGGGGGGGGUCACGUGGCCGUCGCCCGACUGCGAGCGGCUGCUGCUCUCUGCUGUUCCAUCUGCUCACCUACAAGUCAAACACACAAAGACCACCCACCACAUCUGCUAAGACCCUUUAGAUACGUUACAGACACUCAUCUAAUCACAGCUACACAUUAAUCAUAAUCACAGCACAUUCUGAAGCAUUUAUAGUUCCUAAUUAUUAGUCACCCUUUUUAAUUUACAUGGUUGUAAUAUAUUAUUAUCACUAUUACUAAAAUUCACUGUGAAGUUAUUUGUCAUUAUUAGUUUUCUGUAGGGAAAGAAAUCAAUAACACAUUUUAUUUUAUUUUUGUCCCAAACAAACAAGGACCACCUACAAUGACUUUUUAAAUUAAUUGAAAUAGUAAUUAGUGAAGUAAUUUAAUGCAUUUGAAAAAUAAUGCUUGAUAUGACAACCAUGAGGUAUUAAGACACGUGGACUUAAAUGAUAAAAGGCUGUAAAAUGUGUCAUUACUAUUAUUACAAAGCAGGAUGCCUACUUGUUUAUAGCUGUAAUUAGUGUGAUAAGCCAAUUAUUAUUCAUAAGUAUGAUUAUAAUACAUCGUACCGCUGUGCAGCAUGAAUCUUUGCUUUGCCCUUCUGGUUCUUACGCGAUUAUUUUCUUUAUCAUUCAGGUCGAGUUCAUUUUUCCUUCGUUUACAUAUAAAUCCACCUCGUUGUCACAGCGCUAUUUGUCUGAUUAGAAAUGAUCGGCGGAUCUAUUUUCAUUGGGGAUCGAACGGGUCGUAAUCAAAGCGAUUCUUUCUAUAGUCGCUGGCUGUAAGUAUCCUGCCGCGUGGCGUCAUGUCGGGACGGACAGGAAGUCACCCGGCCGCCGUGCGAUGGCUCAACUCGGUUUGGCAAGAUGCAAUAAUUGAAUGUCUCUGAUGCGGUGAGACUGAGGGGUCCACUUAGAACCCUUUUGUGAAACAACGAGUUCUUCAAGGGGCCCCGCUGGAAGAGAAGGCCCACAUGGAACCACACCCCGAAAAAAGUGCCGUGAACAAUGACCGCAGCGCGUGAGCCCCCCCGACCCGUCGGGGUUCCAGAAGAAUCCCUGUGUUCAUGACCACGGCUCUUCUUAGCAUCCCCGGAAGGUAGAGCUGCGGUGGAUGACACUCGGGCCAGAGAGAUGGGGGAGGAGGUUCUGGGUGGAGCGUUUCACCGCUCGGUCUGGGCCAUGUCAAUAAAAUGAUGAUUUUGUGAUUUGAGAAUAGAAAUCUUGGUAGAUUUGGGAAUUUGUAACCUGUGUCGUCUGUGUGGUUUUAAAGGCUGCAUUGGACCGGUGUAAUUAGCGGUUCUGUUCAUUCAUUCAUUGCCUUUAACAUCCGCAUUGCUGGAGAUCAUUCAGAAUCUCAACGUGUAAAUGUUUAAACACCGAUCGUCAUCCCUGUCAUUCCAAUGCAACAGUAAUGCGGAAUACUGUGAUACCGGCCAAGCGGCCCUAGUUCUUGUUCUAGUGAGCACCUUUUCGUCUCUGAGUGGAGUGUGUGGGUCGGUGGACGCACACAGCACCUCGUAGUGUAACAUAAUCAGUAUUAGUAGGAAAUGCUACUAUGUGAAACUAGUCUUCCUCAGUGCAAUACAGCCCCCCCCCCCCCCCCCCUGACCUUACCAAUUAGUGUGUUUAUGUGCUGGUCUCCACCUGUUUGUUUUCUUUGCAUAGAAAGUGGAAGCGGCCUCUUUUCUCCUCCGUGUCGCCUCGAUGUGACCUGAUUGUGUGUAAUCCUAUUUAUCGUGUGUGUGUAAAUACGUCCGUUAAUAAAACAAUGUGACUUUUAACGGCGUCCCGUCGUGUAUAAAACACACACACACACACACACA
Molecule: long non-coding RNA, 2062 nt
Organism: Gasterosteus aculeatus aculeatus (three-spined stickleback)
Lineage: Eukaryota; Metazoa; Chordata; Actinopteri; Perciformes; Gasterosteidae
Source: Ensembl